Long non-coding RNA from Neodiprion virginianus, 2699 nucleotides. RefSeq lists it as uncharacterized. The record is from RefSeq and is a predicted model, not a curated record. The transcript is spliced from 2 exons. Lineage: Eukaryota; Metazoa; Arthropoda; Insecta; Hymenoptera; Diprionidae.
CUAAACACCAGAAUCAAAGAACAUCAACGCAAUGUACUUGAGAUUGAAGAACAUCACACUGCUCUAACAAAACAUAUGACCAAUAAAGAACAUACUUUUAACUACGACAAUACAAACAUCCUUUGUGAAGAACCCAAUUAUUAUAAAAGACUAUUACUAGAAAUGUGCAAUAUUGUAGGACACACCAAUUCCGUUAAUCUUAGACAAGAUGUUGAACAUUUAAGUAAUAUUUACAAACCGCUAAUCUCCGCCCACACACCACAUAUUGUUUAACCUUAACUAGACACAUAAAAUUAUUGUCCCCAUAGCACAGUUUUUCUACAUAAUUUUUUCACAUAUUAUUUUUUUGUUUUUCUGUAUAUUUGUUUAUAUUUGGUUCACCUUCGCUCUGGAUCAUAAUUGUUUCUCCCAUCAGUCGUUAUUCACCAGUUGACCCUAUCGGUUCAACCAAAAAUAAUUUUGUUAGACAUGGAGAACAUAGUCAUAAAGAUCCCGGCUCCACUUCUUGGAAAUUGUGCAAACUAAUUUUACUGCUAAAAAGACCUUCUUUAAAACCUUUUAAUACAAUGACAUAUAGACUGAGAAGAUACAUAGUUUUUUAAUCUUUUCAAUUAAUGACUACCAACUUGUAACUCCUACAUGUUAAACAACCAGAGGAGGUGACAACGACUACUGUUACUCAAAGAACAUUGUCUCCACAAAUUUUAAAUUAUGAAUUAGACUGUAUCUUAGUCCGCUUACUAUAAAAAAAAAGAUGGAAGUUUUUGGUGCCAGUUUGAUGUUUUAUUCAAAUACUGCACAUGAGUACAUGAGGACAAAAUUAGCUGUACUGCCCGAUUCAGAGACAGUCCAUAGAUGGUUCAGGAACAUCAAAUUCACGCCAGGCGUCAGUAAGCCUGUGUUACAGAGCAUCAAGAAAACCCAUCGAAAUUUGUAUUUCAAAAUGAUGUGCUAUGAGAUGCACAUCAGCAAACAUAUCGAAACUGGUGGCAAAGUCACCUAUGGAUUUGUUGACGUAGGAGCAGGAGGUACGAAUGAUACCAGCGAGACAUCAGCAGCUUUGGUUUAUAUGAUUGUAGCCUUAAAUGGGCAUUUGAAAGCUCCCAUAGCUUUUUAUUUUAUAAACGGAACGGGAGCUAAAAAAGAGUCCAUAUUACUACAAAUAUUUUAUGCACUUUGCACAAUUGCAACAUUGAUGUGAAAAGUUUAACUUCUGAUGAAACGAGUUUAAAUAUUUCAAUGUCUGAGUAUUUAGAAGCCACAUUCCUUGAUGUAAAUUGUCCAGAUUUUUGGGAAAAGGCUAUAUAUUUUCUACAUCCGGUAAAUAAAAAAAGAAAAUAUAUAUAUUAUGCUAUACGCGUGUCAUAUUAUGUUGAAAUUGGCAAGAAAUUCCCUCGAAUCGCGAUUAGUAUUGAACAGUACAGGCGAAACAAUUGAAUUGUCACAUUAUCAUAAUUUGGUGGACCUGCAAGAAGUGGAGGGUCUGCAUUGUGGCACCAAAAUUCGAGAGACGUUAAUUUUCAAAAUGAGAAAGUGAAAGUUAACUUGGCAACUCAAACUUCAAGCUAAAGCACAUCAGAUGCAUUAUUGUUCCUGAAGGUAAUUUAUAUUUACCUAUAUUUGAACAAGCUGGCCAUAUUGCACAAUAUUGUAGAAAAAUCAAUGAUAUAUUUGACUUUCUAAAUGUAAAAUCUAGCUUUUGCCCUAAAUUUGAGGCCCUUCGGUGCAUUAGAGCAGAUCAUUUUGAUAGUUGGGGGAAAAAAAUGAUGGGUGGGUAGAAUAUAUAAAAAAAUUCAAUGUUAAUUCUCCAAAUACUUAUCAAUAAGAGAAAACCUUUGAAAGAAAGGAACACCAACGUACCUGAAUGUUAUCCAAUAAAUGUAAGAUUUAUCAUGAAAGUUUAAGUAAUUUCACAGGUUUUGUAGCUACUUACUAAAAUUCUGCAAAUUGAAUGAAACUAAUCAUAAUACACAUGACCUACUUAUUGUCAUACGUGUCUUUUAUUAAUGAGCCAAAAAUUUUAUAUAUUUUUAGAUUUAUCUGAAUUUUCUCUCAAUUUUGAAAACUCCAGUCAAGAUCGGUAACUCAUCGAUAAUAAAUUCGAGUAAAUCAGCAUCAUAACAUUGAAUAAACUAUACCGAGAAAGUUGUUAAUGUGGUAAUUUUCUGAAAAAUCAAUGACAAAUACGAGGAGAAAAACGAUUCAAUAAUUAAUGUUAUAAUACAUGGUUUUUUAUUACAGUUCUAUAAAAAAAACUUACAUGGAAAAUAAUAUUUGGUUUGCUAAUAUAUUAAUAUUAGGAAUGAUAAAUUAGAUAGUACGGUGAACAAUGAUGUAUGUAUGAUACAGAUUUGAUGGUAUGAGGAGUGUUGAUAUCGCAUAAAACGCGAUAUUUUUCAAAUAGUCUCCAAUUACUAAAUAACAACUGUAGUUGUUAACAUAAGUUUCCUAUGUUUAAUUUUCAAUUUAAUCAACUUCCUCCAUGCGCGACGCAUCCUCGUUGUCACCCUCAACUGGCGUCACUUCCGCUGGAGCCGCUUCCUCUUCUUGUGUUGGUUCUUCCUCGUCAAUUCCAAGCCCAAGUUUAAUCAUGCGGUAAAUACGCGCAGCAUGGACUUGAGGUUCAUCUAAACUGAAACCAGAAGAUAACAGGGAAGUUUCAAAUAACAAAACAACCAAAUCUUUAACUGCUUUGUCAU